AAAAAAAACAAACCCUGGUUUCCGUGUCUAACGUUUGACCGUCCGUCUUAUUUGAAAAAAAUAUAAAAAAAAUUUAAAAGAUAAGUCACGCAUAAAGUAUUAAUCAUGUUUUAUCAUCUAACAAUAAUGAAAAUAGUAAUUAUAAAUUUUUUUUAUAUAAGACGGAUAGUCAAAUGUUGACACGAAAAUCUAGGUUUUUUUUUUUU
Oryza nivara is the source of this 206-nucleotide non-coding RNA. NCBI's taxonomy places the organism in Eukaryota, Viridiplantae, Streptophyta, Magnoliopsida, Poales, Poaceae. The record is from Rfam.